AGAGUUUGAUCCUGGCUCAGGAUGAACGCUAGCGGCGCGCUUAAUGCAUGCAAGUCGAGCGAUGAGGCCUUCUUCGGAGGGCACAUCAGCGGCAGACGGGUGAGUAACACGUGGGUGACCUGCCCUUGAGACGGGGAUAACGGAUGGAAACAUGCGCUAAUACCCGAUAGGGUCCCAGGGUCAAAGCUGGGAUGAAAGCUUUGGUGCUCAAGGAGGGGCUCGCGGCCCAUCAACUAGUUGGUGAGGUAACGGCUCACCAAGGCGAAGACGGGUAGGGGGUGUGAGAGCACGGCCCCCCACAAUGGGACUGAGACACGGCCCAUACUCCUACGGGAGGCAGCAGCAGGGAAUAUUGCACAAUGGACGGAAGUCUGAUGCAGCGACGCCGCGUGGAUGAUGAAGGCCUUCGGGUUGUAAAAUCCUUUACGGGGUGACGAGGAAGGACGGUAGCCCCGGAACAAGCGUCGGCUAACUACGUGCCAGCAGCCGCGGUAAGACGUAGGACGCAAGCGUUAUCCGGAUUUACUGGGCGUAAAGCGUCUGUAGGUGGAUGAGUAAGUUGGGCGUGAAAGCUCCGGGCUCAACCCGGAGAGGCCGUUCAAUACUGCUGAUCUAGAGGAGGCCAGAGGGGAGUGGAAUUCCUGGAGUAGCGGUAAAAUGCGUAGAUAUCAGAAGAACACCAGUGGCGAAGCGGCUCCCUAGGGCUCACCUGACGCUGAGAGACGACAGCUAGGGAGCGAACAGGAUUAGAGACCCUGGUAGUCCUAGCCGUAAACGAUGGAUG
Molecule: ribosomal RNA, 784 nt
Filed under: uncultured organism
Description: bacterial SSU rRNA
Rfam family: Bacterial small subunit ribosomal RNA
Source: RNAcentral